RNAcentral lists this ribosomal RNA (461 nucleotides) under uncultured bacterium. Its description in RNAcentral is "SSU rRNA". It matches the Rfam family "Bacterial small subunit ribosomal RNA", at positions 26 to 518 of the family's 1533-position model. The record is from RNAcentral.
AGAACGAACGCUGGCGGCAGGCUUAACACAUGCAAGUCGAGCGAGGACUUCGGUCCUAGCGGCGGACGGGUUAGUAACGCGUGGGAACGUGCCCCUUUCUUCGGAAUAGCCUCGGGAAACUGGGAGGUAAUGCCGGAUACGCCGAGCCAUUGAGAGAUGGUUUGGGAAAGAUUUAUCGGAGAGGGAUCGGCCCGCGUUGGAUUAGGUAGUUGGUGGGGUAACGGCCUACCAAGCCGACGAUCCAUAGCUGGUUUGAGAGGAUGAUCAGCAACACUGGGACUGAGACACGGCCCAGACUCCUACGGGAGGCAGCAGUGGGGAAUCUUGGACAAUGGGGGCGAACCCUGAUCCAGCCAUGCCGCGUGAUCGAUGAAGGCCUUAGGGUUGUAAAGAUCUUUCAGCGGGGAAGAUAAUGACGGUACCGCAGAAGAAGCCCCGGCUAACUCCGUGCCAGCAGCCGC